Molecule: ribosomal RNA, 69 nt
Filed under: Pseudaminobacter sp.
Lineage: Bacteria; Pseudomonadati; Pseudomonadota; Alphaproteobacteria; Hyphomicrobiales; Phyllobacteriaceae
Description: partial 16S ribosomal RNA
Rfam family: Bacterial small subunit ribosomal RNA
Source: RNAcentral
AAACUUGAGAGUUUGAUCCUGGCUCAGAACGAACGCUGGCGGCAGGCUUAACACAUGCAAGUCGAGCGC